RNAcentral lists this ribosomal RNA (382 nucleotides) under uncultured bacterium. RNAcentral describes it as "bacterial SSU rRNA". It matches the Rfam family "Bacterial small subunit ribosomal RNA", at positions 28 to 414 of the family's 1533-position model. The record is from RNAcentral.
GACGAACGCUGGCGGCGUGCUUAACACAUGCAAGUCGAACGGAAAGGCCCUUCGGGGUGCUCGAGUGGCGAACGGGUGAGUAACACGUGGGUGAUCUGCCCUGCACUUUGGGAUAAGCCUGGGAAACUGGGUCUAAUACCGAAUAGGACCAUAAUCUUCAUGGGUUGUGGUGGAAAGCUUUUGCGGUGUGGGAUGGGCCCGCGGCCUAUCAGCUUGUUGGUGGGGUAAUGGCCUACCAAGGCGACGACGGGUAGCCGGCCUGAGAAGGUGACCGGCCACACUGGGACUGAGAUACGGCCCAGACUCCUACGGGAGGCAGCAGUGGGGAAUAUUGCACAAUGGGCGCAAGCCUGAUGCAGCGACGCCGCGUGAGGGAUGACGG